UUACCGCCUUGACAUUGGAGAGAUUAGUUAGCUAACAGGUGCUGCAUGGCUGUCGUCAGCUCGUGUCGUGAGAUGUUGGGUUAAGUCCCGCAACGAGCGCGACCCCGCCUUAGUUGCCAUCAUAUGGGACUCUAGGGGACUGCCGGUGAUAACCGGAGGAAGGUGGGGAUGACGUCAAGUCCUCAUGGCCCUUACGGCGGGCUACACACGUGCUACAAUGGGUGACAAGGGGCAUCGCAAGGGCAGCAAUCCCUAAAGCGUCUCAGUUCGGAUUGUUCUCUGCAACUCGAGAGCAUGAAGUUGGAAUCGCUAGUAAUCGUGAUCAGCAUGCACGGUGAAUACGUUCCCGGGCCUUGUACACACCGCCCGUCACACCAUGGGAGUUGGUUACCGAA
RNAcentral lists this ribosomal RNA (395 nucleotides) under uncultured bacterium. Its description in RNAcentral is "bacterial SSU rRNA". It matches the Rfam family "Bacterial small subunit ribosomal RNA", at positions 971 to 1425 of the family's 1533-position model. The record is from RNAcentral.